This 196-nucleotide ribosomal RNA is filed under the name uncultured bacterium. RNAcentral's name for it is "partial 16S ribosomal RNA". It matches the Rfam family "Bacterial small subunit ribosomal RNA", at positions 337 to 524 of the family's 1533-position model. The record is from RNAcentral.
UCCUACGGGAGGCAGCAGUGAGGAAUAUUGCGCAAUGGGCGAAAGCCUGACGCAGCGACGCCGCGUGGGGGACGAAGGCCUUCGGGUUGUAAACCCCUUUCGACCGGAAAGAAACGCCAGUGGGCUAACAUCCCAUUGGUUUGACGGUACCGGGAGAAGAAGCCACGGCUAACUCUGUGCCAGCAGCCGCGGUAAU